UUUUAUUAGCUCAAUGGUAGAGCUAGAUACUUCUAAUAUUUAGAUCUAAGUUCGAAUCUUAGAUAA
Molecule: transfer RNA, 66 nt
Filed under: Peltigera rufescens
Lineage: Eukaryota; Fungi; Ascomycota; Lecanoromycetes; Peltigerales; Peltigeraceae
Description: tRNA-Arg
Rfam family: tRNA
About the family: Transfer RNA (tRNA) molecules are approximately 80 nucleotides in length. Their secondary structure includes four short double-helical elements and three loops (D, anti-codon, and T loops).
Source: RNAcentral